Molecule: transfer RNA, 77 nt
Filed under: Candidatus Aminicenantota bacterium
Lineage: Bacteria; Candidatus Aminicenantota
Also listed under: 1 other name
Description: Candidatus Aminicenantes bacterium tRNA-Arg
Rfam family: tRNA
About the family: Transfer RNA (tRNA) molecules are approximately 80 nucleotides in length. Their secondary structure includes four short double-helical elements and three loops (D, anti-codon, and T loops).
Source: RNAcentral
GCGCCUGUAGCUCAGCUGGACAGAGCAGCUGCCUUCUAAGCAGCGGGUCGGGAGUUCGAGUCUCUCCAGGCGCGCCA